Molecule: ribosomal RNA, 352 nt
Filed under: Salmonella enterica
Lineage: Bacteria; Pseudomonadati; Pseudomonadota; Gammaproteobacteria; Enterobacterales; Enterobacteriaceae
Description: bacterial SSU rRNA
Rfam family: Bacterial small subunit ribosomal RNA
Source: RNAcentral
CGGGAACUCAAAGGAGACUGCCAGUGAUAAACUGGAGGAAGGUGGGGAUGACGUCAAGUCAUCAUGGCCCUUACGACCAGGGCUACACACGUGCUACAAUGGCGCAUACAAAGAGAAGCGACCUCGCGAGAGCAAGCGGACCUCAUAAAGUGCGUCGUAGUCCGGAUUGGAGUCUGCAACUCGACUCCAUGAAGUCGGAAUCGCUAGUAAUCGUGGAUCAGAAUGCCACGGUGAAUACGUUCCCGGGCCUUGUACACACCGCCCGUCACACCAUGGGAGUGGGUUGCAAAAGAAGUAGGUAGCUUAACCUUCGGGAGGGCGCUUACCACUUUGUGAUUCAUGACUGGGGUGA